AUUGAACGCUGGCGGCAGGCCUAACACAUGCAAGUCGAGCGGAUGAAGGGAGCUUGCUCCUGGAUUCAGCGGCAGACGGGUGAGUAAUGCCUAGGAAUCUGCCUGGUAGUGGGGGAUAACGUCCGGAAACGGGCGCUAAUACCGCAUACGUCCUGAGGGAGAAAGUGGGGAUCUUCGGACCUCACGCUAUCAGAUGAGCCUAGGUCGGAUUAGCUAGUUGGUGGGGUAAAGGCCUACCAAGGCGACGAUCCGUAACUGGUCUGAGAGGAUGAUCAGUCACACUGGAACUGAGACACGGUCCAGACUCCUACGGGAGGCAGCAGUGGGGAAUAUUGGACAAUGGGCGAAAGCCUGAUCCAGCCAUGCCGCGUGUGUGAAGAAGGUCUUCGGAUUGUAAAGCACUUUAAGUUGGGAGGAAGGGCAGUAAGUUAAUACCUUGCUGUUUUGACGUUACCAACAGAAUAAGCACCGGCUAACUUCGUG
This 483-nucleotide ribosomal RNA is filed under the name uncultured bacterium. RNAcentral describes it as "partial 16S ribosomal RNA". It matches the Rfam family "Bacterial small subunit ribosomal RNA", at positions 30 to 507 of the family's 1533-position model. The record is from RNAcentral.